This 952-nucleotide non-coding RNA is filed under the name Tenrec ecaudatus (tailess tenrec). RNAcentral's name for it is "partial 12S ribosomal RNA". It matches the Rfam family "Bacterial small subunit ribosomal RNA". The record is from RNAcentral. Lineage: Eukaryota; Metazoa; Chordata; Mammalia; Afrosoricida; Tenrecidae.
UAAAGGUUUGGUCCCAGCCUUUUUAUUAGUUGAUAGUAAAUUUAUACAUGCAAGUAUCUUCACCCCAGUGAAAAUGCCCUUAAGUCCACCAAGAAUAAAAGGAGCUGGUAUCAAGUUCACUUUUGUAGCUCAUCACACCUUGCUAAGCCACACCCUCACGGGAUACAGCAGUAACAAAAAUUAAGCAAUAAACGAAAGUUUGACUUAGUUAUACUAUAUUUAGAGUUGGUUAACUUCGUGCCAGCCACCGCGGUCAUACGAAUGACUCAAACUAAUAAAUUUCGGCGUAAAGCGUGAUUAGGGUAAAGAAAAAAAAAUAAAAUAAAAAUAUAUCUAUGCUGUAAAAAGCCUAAGAGAAUAGUAUUAUUAACAACGAAAGUGAUUUUAUCAUUUCUGAACUCACGAUAGCUAAGAAACAAACUGGGAUUAGAUACCCCACUAUGCUUAGUCAUAAACUUAGACAAUUAAUAACAAAAUUGUCCGCCAGAGAACUACUAGCUAAAGCUAAAAACUUAAAGGACUUGGCGGUGCUUCAUAUCCACCUAGAGGAGCCUGUUGUAUAAUUGAUAAACCCCACUAUACCUUACCAUUACUUGCCAAACCAGUCUAUAUACCGCCAUCUUCAGCAAACCCUAAAAAGGUAAAAAUAGUAAGCCAAAUGAUAUUUACAUAAAAACGUUAGGUCAAGGUGUAACUUAUGUAAUGGGAACUAAUGGGCUACAUUUUCUAAUUAUUAGAACACCCGAUUUAAACGGAUAUUUUAAUGAAAUCUUAAAAUUAAAGGAGGAUUUAGCAGUAAACUAAGAAUAGAGAGCUUAGUUGAAUAAGGCUAUGAAGCGCGCACACACCGCCCGUCACCCUCCUCAACCUACAAAAGUAUACCUAAAUUAUUACUAAUCAAUUUAAGAGGAGACAAGUCGUAACAAGGUAAGCAUACUGGAAAGUGUGCUUG